This 452-nucleotide ribosomal RNA is filed under the name Serratia symbiotica. Its description in RNAcentral is "bacterial SSU rRNA". It matches the Rfam family "Bacterial small subunit ribosomal RNA", at positions 12 to 459 of the family's 1533-position model. Lineage: Bacteria; Pseudomonadati; Pseudomonadota; Gammaproteobacteria; Enterobacterales; Yersiniaceae. The record is from RNAcentral.
UUUGAUCAUGGCUCAGAUUGAACGCUGGCGGCAGGCCUAACACAUGCAAGUCGAGCGGUAGCACAAGAGAGCUUGCUCUCUGGGGUGACGAGCGGCGGACGGGUGAGUAAUGUCUGGGAAACUGCCUGAUGGCGGGGGAUAACUAGUGGAAACGGUAGCUAAUACCGCAUAACGUCGCAAGACCAAAGUGGGGGACCUUCGGGCCUCACGCCAUCAGAUGUGCCCAGGUGGGAUUAGCUGGUAGGUGGGGUAACGGCUCACCUAGGCGACGAUCCCUAGCUGGUCUGAGAGGAUGACCAGCCACACUGGAACUGAGACACGGUCCAGACUCCUACGGGAGGCAGCAGUGGGGAAUAUUGCACAAUGGGCGCAAGCCUGAUGCAGCCAUGCCGCGUGUGUGAAGAAGGCCUUCGGGUUGUAAAGCACUUUCAGCGAGGAGGAAGGGUAAUGUG